GUGCCUAAUACAUGCAAGUCGAGCGGAUGAAAGAGAGCUUGCUCUCUGGAUUCAGCGGCGGACGGGUGAGUAACACGUGGGCAACCUGCCUGUAAGACUGGGAUAACUCCGGGAAACCGGGGCUAAUACCGGAUAACUUCUUUCUUCGCAUGAAGGAAGGUUAAAAGACGGUUAUGCUGUCACUUACAGAUGGGCCCGCGGCGCAUUAGCUAGUUGGUGGGGUAACGGCCUACCAAGGCGACGAUGCGUAGCCGACCUGAGAGGGUGAUCGGCCACACUGGGACUGAGACACGGCCCAGACUCCUACGGGAGGCAGCAGUAGGGAAUCUUCCGCAAUGGACGCAAGUCUGACGGAGCAACGCCGCGUGAGUGAAGAAGGCCUUCGGGCCGUAAAACUCUGUUAUCAGGGAAGAAUCCGUGCCGGAGUAACUGCCGGUGCGUUGACGGUACCUGACCAGAAAGCCAUGGCUAACUACGUGCCAGCCGCGGC
RNAcentral lists this ribosomal RNA (490 nucleotides) under uncultured bacterium. RNAcentral's name for it is "bacterial SSU rRNA". It matches the Rfam family "Bacterial small subunit ribosomal RNA", at positions 44 to 518 of the family's 1533-position model. The record is from RNAcentral.